Molecule: ribosomal RNA, 373 nt
Filed under: uncultured bacterium
Lineage: Bacteria
Description: bacterial SSU rRNA
Rfam family: Bacterial small subunit ribosomal RNA
Source: RNAcentral
AGCGAACGCUGGCGGCAGGCUUAACACAUGCAAGUCGAACGGGCGUAGCAAUACGUCAGUGGCAGACGGGUGAGUAACGCGUGGGAACGUGCCUUUUGGUUCGGAACAACUGAGGGAAACUUCAGCUAAUACCGGAUAAGCCCUUACGGGGAAAGAUUUAUCGCCAAAAGAUCGGCCCGCGUCUGAUUAGCUAGUUGGUGAGGUAAUGGCUCACCAAGGCGACGAUCAGUAGCUGGUCUGAGAGGACGACCAGCCACACUGGGACUGAGACACGGCCCAGACUCCUACGGGAGGCAGCAGUGGGGAAUUUUGGACAAUGGGCGCAAGCCUGAUCCAGCCACGCCGCGUGCGGGAAGAAGGCCUUCGGUUGUAA